Molecule: ribosomal RNA, 465 nt
Filed under: uncultured bacterium
Lineage: Bacteria
Description: partial 16S ribosomal RNA
Rfam family: Bacterial small subunit ribosomal RNA
Source: RNAcentral
CCUACGGGAGGCAGCAGUAGGGAAUUUUCGUCAAUGGGCGCAAGCCUGAACGAGCGAUGCCGCGUGAGUGAAGAAGGCCUUCGGGUCGUAAAGCUCUGUUGCGGGGGAAAAAAGGCAGCAUCAGGAAAUGGGUGCUGACUGAUGGUGCCCCGCCAGAAAGUCACGGCUAACUACGUGCCAGCAGCCGCGGUAAUACGUAGGUGGCGAGCGUUAUCCGGAAGGAUUGGGCGUAAAGGGUGCGCAGGCGGUCCUGCAAGUCUGGAGUGAAACGCAUGAGCUAAACUCAUGCAUGGCUUUGGAAACUGGAGGACUGGAGAGCAGGAGAGGGCGGUGGAACUCCAUGUGUAGCGGUAAAAUGCGUAGAUAUAUGGAAGAACACCAGUGGCGAAGGCGGCCGCCUGGCCUGUUGCUGACGCUGAGGCACGAAAGCGUGGGGAGCAAAUAGGAUUAGAUACCCUAGUAGUC